Molecule: ribosomal RNA, 441 nt
Filed under: uncultured bacterium
Lineage: Bacteria
Description: partial 16S ribosomal RNA
Rfam family: Bacterial small subunit ribosomal RNA
Source: RNAcentral
CCUACGGGAGGCAGCAGUGGGGAAUAUUGCACAAUGGGGGAAACCCUGAUGCAGCGACGCCGCGUGAGGGAAGAAGUAUUUCGGGAUGUAAAGCUCUAUCAGCAGGGAAGAAGAAAGACGGUACCUGAGUAAGAAGCCCCGGCUAACUACGUGCCAGCAGCCGCGGGAAGACGGAGGGGGCAAGCGUUAUCCGGAUUUACUGGGGGUAAAGGGAGCGUAGACGGCUGUGCAAGUCUGCAGUGAAAGCGCAGGGCUCAACCCUGGGACUGCAUCGGAAACUGUGGUGCUAGAGUGCUGGCGAGGUAGGUGGAAUUCCUAGUGUAGCGGUGAAAUGCGUAGAUAUUACGAGGAACACCAGUUGCGAAGGCGGCUUACUGGACAGUAACUGACGCUGAGGCUCGAAAGCGUGGGGAGCAAACAGGAUUAGAUACCCCAGUAGUC